Molecule: non-coding RNA, 72 nt
Organism: Talaromyces marneffei
Lineage: Eukaryota; Fungi; Ascomycota; Eurotiomycetes; Eurotiales; Trichocomaceae
Source: the annotation of a RefSeq genome assembly
GCGAUAAUAGUCUAGUGGUUAGGACGAGUCGUUGUGGCCGACUAAACCCCUGUUCGAUUCAGGGUUAUCGCA